UGACGGUACCAUAGGAGGAAGCCCCGGCUAACUACGCGCCAGCAGCCGCGGUAAUACGUAUGGUGCAAGCGUUAUCCGGAUUUACUGGGUGUAAAGGGAGCGCAGGCGGUCCUGCAAGCCAGAGGUGAAAACCCGGGGCUCAACCCCGUGAUUGCCUUUGGAACUGUAGGACUUGAGUACUGGAGGGGCAGGCGGAAUUCCUGGUGUAGCGGUGAAAUGCGUAGAUAUCAGGAGGAACACCGGUGGCGAAGGCGGCUUACUGGACUGUAACUGACGUUGAGGCUCGAAAGCGUGGGGAGCAAACAGGAUUAGAUACCCUG
This 320-nucleotide ribosomal RNA is filed under the name uncultured bacterium. RNAcentral describes it as "bacterial SSU rRNA". It matches the Rfam family "Bacterial small subunit ribosomal RNA", at positions 470 to 789 of the family's 1533-position model. The record is from RNAcentral.